Molecule: ribosomal RNA, 109 nt
Filed under: Tursiops truncatus (common bottlenose dolphin)
Lineage: Eukaryota; Metazoa; Chordata; Mammalia; Artiodactyla; Delphinidae
Also listed under: 1 other name
Source: RNAcentral
GUCUACAGCUAUACCACCCUGAAUGUGCCUGAUCUCAGAAGCUAAGCAGGGUCAGACCUGGUUAGUACUUGGAUGAGAGACUGCCUGGAAAUACUGGGUGCUGUAGGCU